UGAUUGCUUUUCUGCAAGUCGCUUCGGAUAAAAGCGUCUGCUAAAUGACUAAAU
This is a non-coding RNA of Larimichthys crocea (large yellow croaker), 54 nucleotides long. The record is from Rfam. NCBI's taxonomy places the organism in Eukaryota, Metazoa, Chordata, Actinopteri, Sciaenidae.